RNAcentral lists this ribosomal RNA (425 nucleotides) under uncultured bacterium. RNAcentral's name for it is "partial 16S ribosomal RNA". It matches the Rfam family "Bacterial small subunit ribosomal RNA", at positions 354 to 796 of the family's 1533-position model. The record is from RNAcentral.
GUGGGGAAUAUUGGACAAUGGGCGCAAGCCUGAUCCAGCCAUGCCGCGUGAGUGAUGAAGGCCUUCGGGUUGUAAAGCUCUUUAGUCCACGAAUAUAAUGACUGUAGUGGAAGAAUAAGCCCCGGCUAACUUCGUGCCAGCAGCCGCGGUAAUACGAAGGGGGCGAGCGUUAUUCGGAAUCACUGGGCGUAAAGCGUGCGUAGGCUGUUUUGUAAGUCAGAAGCGAAAGCCCAGGGCUUAACCCUGGAAUUGCUUUUGAAACUACAAGACUCGAAUUCGGGAGAGGAUAGCGGAUUUGUCAGUGUAGCAGUGAAAUGCGUAGAUAUUGACAGGAACACCAGUGGCGCAAGCGGCUAUCUGGACCGAUAUUGACGCUGAGGCACGAAAGCGUGGGGAGCAAACAGGAUUAGAAACCCGUGUAGUCC